Molecule: non-coding RNA, 79 nt
Filed under: pig gut metagenome
Description: Glycine riboswitch
Rfam family: Glycine riboswitch aptamer
About the family: This family represents the bacterial glycine riboswitch. Glycine riboswitches usually consist of two metabolite-binding aptamers domains with similar structures in tandem.
Source: RNAcentral
AGUCUCUGGAGAAGCUCAUUGAAUUGAGUGCCGAAGGUGCAAGGCGAAGGCCGAAUCUCUCAGGCAAAAGGACAGAGUA